This 440-nucleotide ribosomal RNA is filed under the name uncultured bacterium. Its description in RNAcentral is "partial 16S ribosomal RNA". It matches the Rfam family "Bacterial small subunit ribosomal RNA", at positions 338 to 795 of the family's 1533-position model. The record is from RNAcentral.
CCUACGGGGGGCUGCAGUGGGGAAUAUUGCACAAUGGGGGAAACCCUGAUGCAGCGACGCCGCGUGAGUGAGGAAGUAUUUCGGUAUGUAAAGCUCUAUCAGCAGGGAGGAAAAUGACGAUACCUGACUAAGAAGCCCCGGCUAACUACGUGCCAGCAGCCGCGGUAAUACGUAGGGUGCAAGCGUUAUCCGGAUUUACUGGGUGUAAAGGGAGCGUAGACGGCUAAUCAAGUCAGAAGUGAAAACCCAGGGCUUAACCUUGGGACUGCUUUUGAAACUGAGUAGCUAGAGUGCAGGAGAGGGAAGAGGAAUUCCGAGUGUAGCGGUGAAAUGCGUAGAUAUGAGGAGGAACACCAGUGGCGAAGGCGGCUUACUGGACUGUAACUGACGGUGAGGCGCGAAAGCGUGGGGAGCAAACAGGAUUAGAUACCCGAGUAGUC